GACAGAGGGGGCAAGCGUUGCUCGGAAUUAUUGGGCGUAAAGCGUGUCUCGGCGGGUAGAUAAGUCAGAUGUUAAAGAUCGGCUUAACUGGGAGAGUGCGUUUGAUACUAUUUAUCUUGAGUCAUAGAGGGAUGAGCGGAAUUCCUGGUGUAGCAGUGAAAUGCGUAGAGAUCAGGAGGAACACCGGUGGCGAAAGCGGCUCAUUGGCUAUGUACUGACGCUCAAGCACGAAAGCGUGGGUAGCAAACAGG
This 251-nucleotide ribosomal RNA is filed under the name uncultured bacterium. Its description in RNAcentral is "partial 16S ribosomal RNA". It matches the Rfam family "Bacterial small subunit ribosomal RNA", at positions 524 to 776 of the family's 1533-position model. The record is from RNAcentral.